AGAGGGAAAGGGGGGAGAGCGGGCCGGUGGGAGUCAAUGCCGUUCGUCGCGCCGUUGUCGUCACCGAUGAUGGAGGACCGAGGAGAGUGUGUCGCGGAGAAGGGGGAGCUCGCGCGAGUGAGGAGCGUCGUCACCGCUGUCGCGCCUUGUGCUGCCAGCUUCAUUGCACCUGAUCAUCAUCAUUGCUGCUGGACCUCCGUGUCGCACCGGCGUCGCGAGUUGUUAUCGAGCCUCCACAAGCAGGACCCGAAGCGAAGAGAGAGACAAAACAACGCGAGGAGAUAGAGAAGGCAUUGCGGGGUGGUUUCUGCCGCCGCUGCUUUCUCUGCCAUCGCCGUCUGUGGAGCUUGCCGCCGCCGGAGUCACGAGCCGAGGUGGGGGAGGAGGCCAUCUUCCCUAUUAUUGCAGUCACCGUGCUGCUACUACUACGCUUCAUUUUCUUGUUUUCCUUAAUUACUGAUUAAGCCGCUGCAGUUGUGGGCUGUGACGGUUGAUGCUCUUUAAGAAUCGUUGCUGCUGGGGUGACUGGAAUGGCUACUGCUAGUUCUAACGUUGCUACCGUUGCUGUUGACUUACCCCAAUUCAAGUUUAGUGUCACUGCCCUAGGUCUAGUCUUUCUCCUGACUCUGUUUCACUUUUAUACUCUGAACUGCCUUGGUCUUGUUUAUCUGUUUGUUAUGGUUUUAAUUCCAUUUUAGUUUCGGUGUCGCCUUGAAUUUUCAGAGUUGUUUUUGCGUUUGAUUCCAUCAAAUUU
This is a non-coding RNA of Arachis ipaensis, 754 nucleotides long. NCBI's taxonomy places the organism in Eukaryota, Viridiplantae, Streptophyta, Magnoliopsida, Fabales, Fabaceae. The record is from RefSeq and is a predicted model, not a curated record.